CUAGCGACUUCAGAGUUUGAUCCUGGCUCAGGAUGAACGCUGGCGGCGUGCAUAACACAUUCAAGUCGAACGGAGUUAAACGGAUUAAUCCUUCGGGAAGCGUUUGUUUAACUUAGUGGCGGACGGGUGAGUAACGCGUGAGCAACCUGCCCUUGUGUGGGGGAUAACGUUUGGAAACGAACGCUAACACCGCAUAAUGUAUUGAGACUGCAUGAUCUUAAUACCAAAGAUUUAUUGCGCAAGGAUGGGCUCGCGUUGGAUUAGAUAGUUGGUGAGGUAACGGCCCACCAAGUCUACGAUCCAUAGCCGGACUGAGAGGUUGAACGGCCACAUUGGAACUGAGAAACGGUCCAG
RNAcentral lists this ribosomal RNA (354 nucleotides) under uncultured bacterium. RNAcentral describes it as "bacterial SSU rRNA". It matches the Rfam family "Bacterial small subunit ribosomal RNA", at positions 1 to 334 of the family's 1533-position model. The record is from RNAcentral.